UAUGCUGUUCACCGACGUGUUCGAGGCACCCUGCUCACGUGCGCUGCCGCUCCUCGCUCUCCUCCUCUCCUCCCUCUUGGUGCCUGCCCGUCAACCUCGCACAUACCACAGCCGAGGUCACAGCCGACUGCGAUUACACAGAACGUCUCAUCCGUCGUAUAUAUCGGGCAGCGAGGCCUGCCUCUACACCGGGAGGGGUGGUGGCGUCUGACGCAACGUGCCUCCUUCACCCACCUUUGCUUCUACAGUGGCUUGCCGCGACUCUCUGUCUGUGAAUACCAAAUUCCCUUAGACUCACGCACACCCACCCAUCCAGCGAGCGCCCACUCGAGGCGCGGCGAAUCUGGCCGGCGGAUUGCUUUCCACCUAAACAGAGCCGUUUUCUCUUUGUUUGCCGUCGCCUCUCUGUGCUGCGCAUGGCGUCGACCACCGCGACGGACAAGGACUUCUUGGCCAAGAAGAUUGUCUCGGCUGAUGGGCCGAGGGGUGGGGAGGUGGUGCACGACGUGUCCCUUAGCGAAUGGUGCAUCACCCGCAUUGAGCCGGAGGAGGAGUCCAACCGUCGACGGUCGGUGCUCGAGCGCAUCGUCAACGUGGUGCGGGUGUGGAUUCGCCACACGAUGAUCACGGAGUUCCGCAUGCCAGAGGCGGCGGCGGCGCAAGUCGAGGGCCGCAUCUUUGCCACCGGCUCCUACCGAUACAACGUGCACACCUCUGGCAGCGAUAUCGACAUGGUGCUGAUUGCCCCCAGCCGCAUCACCCGCGAGCACUUUUUCAACACGCUGGCGCCACGGCUGAAGAGCGAGCCGUGGGUGACAGACCUGCACUGCAUUCGUGAGUCUCGCGUGCCGAUCAUUGCGAUGGUGUGCGACGGCAUCGACAUCGAUCUCUCGUUUGGGUCGAUCCGGCAGGACCGCGUACCGGAGGUAAUCACGGAUGACCUUCUGCAGGGCCUCGACGAGCAGUCCGUGCUGAGCUGUAACGCCGUGCGAGUGGCACACAACAUAAUGGAUCUCGUGCCGAACAAGGCCGUUUUCCGUCAAACCUUGCGCUUCGUGAAGGCGUGGGGCAAAGCAAGGUCCAUCUACAGCAACACCUUCGGCUUCCCGUCCGGCAUUGGCUGGGCCAUACUCACCGCCUUUGUGUGCCAAUGCUAUCCCAACCAGAACGCCGCCGGCAUGGUCACUCGCUUCUUCCGCACGUACCACACGUGGUUUAAGCCGAACCCGCACGAGACCGGCACCGAAAACCGCGCCAUCUACCUCACCGAGUCCAUGCGGGCCCGCACCCACCUCGGCCGCGGCUGGGACCCGCGGGAGUCUAAGUCGGAUGCGAUGGCACUCUUCCCGGUGCUGACGCCGGCGGUGCCAUACGGCAAUACCUGCUACAAUGUUACUCUCACCAACCUGCGCCAGCUCUGCGACGAGUUCCAGCGCGGCCACGAUCUGCUUAGCAAGGACCUCGGCAUGAGCGCGGCGGAGGCGAAGGCGAAGUUCGGCCCGUUCGGAGUUUGGUCGCGUGUGUUGGAGCCGGCCCCGUUCUUUGGCAAAUUCCAGCACUACCUGCAGAUCAAGGUCUCAUGCAGCGAUGCGGAGCACUACCAGGCCUACGCGGACGGCGUGGAGUCGCGCAUACGUAUCCUCUGGGCCGGCAACGCCUCGUCACGUGGCCACACGCUGGAGGACUACCGCCAGCUUCGCCUGCACCUGAACCCGCGCCGGUUCGAGGACCCCGAGGAAGUGCAGCUGCGCACGCGACUGACAAGCAAAGCCACUGGCGCGGCGGCGGCGUCGAGCCACACUCGCGGCAGCGUCGGCUCUCGCACCUCUGGCCAGCUUGGCGACGGCGGCAGCUCUCUCGUUGGUAGCAUCAACGCGAAGGAUAGCAGUGCCCCCUCAGGUCCGACGUGGUUCACGGCGCACUACUUCAUUGGCAUGGCCGUCGACACGAAGGUGUCCUCGGCCAAGAUCGACCUCGCGCCCGCCAUCCGUACCUUCCACACUGUCGUUCGCGAGCUUCGUCAGUACCGUGAGGGCGUCACGAGGCUGCCAGUGAUAACGGUUGUAGACAUGGCACGCAUCCCGACCUUCGUCAAGGAAGCAGCUGGGCACGUCGAGGAGACGGCGGUGGCGCGGGAGGAACGGAGCUCCGGCGAGGCGGAGGAGGCGCGCAACAGCAGCAACACUGCCGCAUGUGCAGACGCGGCCAAACGCGACGGCACAUCGGCGGCGUCGACGACAACAUCAAAGCCGAGCACGGCGACGAGCGGCUCCACCGGCACGACAGCGAGUGCGGCUGACGGUUCGGCCAACGAGAAGAGUCGCGGCCUUCACGACGGCGGUGCAGGUAGCGGCGCAGCAUCGAGUAUCGACAGCCACGCACGUAAGCGCACGCGAGAUCAGUACGGCACCGAUGGCCAAGCUACCGUGGCAGCCAAGGCGGAGACCUCGAUGACAGCUGCCGGCAGCGGAAGCGGUGCGGCUGGCAGUGCGCAGGCGGAGGAAGACGCCGACUACAUCGAGCAGGCGCUUGGGCUGGACUUCUAGGUGAACGCGCCACGAGAGGCUGCGGCGCCGAUGAAGCGGCGCGUAUAAACAAGCACGAAAAACCAAUGAUGUUUUGGUGGUGUGUGCAUGUGUGCCUGAUGCGGUGCCAGAUGCUCUGGCGCAUGUUCUGGGCGCACAUAGUAAGGAUGAC
This 2697-nucleotide unclassified non-coding RNA is filed under the name Leishmania donovani. RNAcentral describes it as "gene:LdHU3.14.1600(CDS-product:poly(A)_polymerase _putative)". Lineage: Eukaryota; Euglenozoa; Kinetoplastea; Trypanosomatida; Trypanosomatidae. The record is from RNAcentral.